UAUGAAUCAAUAAUACUAAUAUAAAAUUUUAUCCGAAAAACUCAUCACUAAAUGCAUAAACAAAAAAAAAAAAACAAACCCUAAACCCUAUAAUCCUAAGCAUUAUUCUAAACCAAACAUUAAACCCAACCUAAACCAAACGCUAAACUUUUCCUACUACCUAAACCCUAAAUCCUACCUAACCCUAAACCCUACCUAAACCUAGACCUUAACCCUAUCUAACCCUAAACCCUACAUAAACCUAACCCUAAUCCCUAAACCCUUCGUACCACCUAAAUCUUAAACCUAUCUAACCGUAAACCUACUUAACCCUAACCCUAAACCCUAUUUAACCCUAAACCCUAUUUAACCCUAAACCCUGCCUAACCAUAAACCCUUCAUAACCCUAAAACCCAACCUAAAACCUAACCCUAAACCUACCUAACCCUAACCCUAAACCCUACCAAACCCUAAACCCUACUAACCCUAAACACUACCUAACCCUAACCCUACAUAACCCUAAACCCUACUAACCCUACCUAACCUAAAACCUUCCUAACCCUAAACCCUUUCUAGCCCUAAACCCUACCUAACCCUAAACCCUAAACCCUACUAACCUUAAUCCCUACUAACCCUAAACACUUUCUAACCCUAAACCCUACCUAACCCUAAGCCCUACCUAAUUCUAAACCCUACCUAACCCUAAACCCUACCUAACCCUAAACCCUACCUACCAUAAUCCAUUUCUAACCCUAAACCCUACCUAUUCAUAUGUCGAAUCCAAUCAGAGAAAUCAAACAAUCUUUGUAUCAUAGCUUAAAAGUCGAAUCCAAUCAGAGAAACCAAAAAAAUCUUUGCCAACUAGCUUAAAAGUCGAAUCCAAUCAGAUAAACCAAAAAAACCGUAAAUUCCAAGAGUAUCGACAAACUAAACCUUGUCUGGUUAUCGUCGAUGUUUGCGAUGGAUAUAAUUGAAGUAGCAGAGUAGGGAGUAGCAAACUCCUCUGGUCGGACUCUCUUCAUCGGAUCGAAACCAUAUAGAGCUUCCAUUGAUACGCGAUUGAAAAAAAAAGAAAAAGAAAAAAUUCAGGACAUACGACGGCGUUUUAGAAAACGCGGAGGAGAGUAAAAAAAAAUAAAUGAAAAAUAAAAAUUCAAAAAACUCAGCCAAUAUAAUUAUAAUGUUUAUCCUGAGAAGCUCUAUAUGAGUGCCACCUCAGCAGAAAUCACUAAAGUGACUUCUCUUUUAAUGUAUAGGAGUAUAUGAUUUAAAAAGCCUUUACAAAUUUUUAUUUUUAAACAUUCACCAAAAAUUUUAUAAAAGUAAAUAUCCAUUCAGCUUCUCAACCACUUCAAAUACCACCAACGCCAAAAAAAUUUAAUCAAGUGCACGAAAACUAUAAUAUAUUUAAAACUACAAUAAAUACAUUAGUUAAUGAAAAAUCCUUUUUAAAAAAUAUUAUGGAUGCAUACAUAAAUAUUAAGAGAAUUGUAUAAAAAGAUUUAAAAGUAACAAUAACUUGAAAAACAAAAUGUAUAAGACUGAGAAUAUAUAUGAUUUGUGGUCUAAGAUAUAUUUAACUUAUUGUCACAAAAAACUUAAUAAAAAAAUACAUACUUUGUUUUAAGAACAUUAAAAAUCACGUUAAAAAUUUUAACAUUUUAAGAAAAAUUAUGAAUCAAUAAUACUAAUAUAAAAUUUUAUCCGAAAAACUCAUCACUAAAUGCAUAAACAAAAAAAAAAAAACAAACCCUAAACCCUAUAAUCCUAAGCAUUAUUCUAAACCAAACAUUAAACCCAACCUAAACCAAACGCUAAACUUUUCCUACUACCUAAACCCUAAAUCCUACCUAACCCUAAACCCUACCUAAACCUAGACCUUAACCCUAUCUAACCCUAAACCCUACAUAAACCUAACCCUAAUCCCUAAACCCUUCGUACCACCUAAAUCUUAAACCUAUCUAACCGUAAACCUACUUAACCCUAACCCUAAACCCUAUUUAACCCUAAACCCUAUUUAACCCUAAACCCUGCCUAACCAUAAACCCUUCAUAACCCUAAAACCCAACCUAAAACCUAACCCUAAACCUACCUAACCCUAACCCUAAACCCUACCAAACCCUAAACCCUACUAACCCUAAACACUACCUAACCCUAACCCUACAUAACCCUAAACCCUACUAACCCUACCUAACCUAAAACCUUCCUAACCCUAAACCCUUUCUAGCCCUAAACCCUACCUAACCCUAAACCCUAAACCCUACUAACCUUAAUCCCUACUAACCCUAAACACUUUCUAACCCUAAACCCUACCUAACCCUAAGCCCUACCUAAUUCUAAACCCUACCUAACCCUAAACCCUACCUAACCCUAAACCCUACCUACCAUAAUCCAUUUCUAACCCUAAACCCUACCUAUUCCUAAACCCCUUCUAACCCUAAACCUGACCUAACCCUAAACCCUGACUAACCCUAAACCCUACCCAACCCUAAACCGUUUCUAGCCCUAAAUCCUACUAACCCUAAACCUUUCUAACCCUAAACCUUUCUAACCCUAAACCAUGCUAACCCUAAACCCUACCUAAUUCUAAACCCUACUUAACCCUAACCCUACAUAACCCUACAUAACCCUAAUUCCUACUAACCCUAAACCCUACCUAACCUAAACCCUACCUAACCCUAAAACCUUUCUAACCCUAAACCCUUUCUAGCCCUAAACCCUACUUAACCCAAAACCCUACUAACCCUAAACCCUACUAACCUCAAACCCUACUAACCCUAAACCCUACCUAAUUCUAAACCCUACCUAACCCUAAACCCUACCUAACCCUAAACCCUACAUACCCUAAACCCUUUCUAACCCUAAACCCUACCUAACCCUAAACUUGACCUAACCCUGAACCCUGCCUAACCCUAAACCCUACCUAACCCUAAACCCUACCUAACCCUUAACCCCUUCUAACACUAAAUCUGACCUAACCCUAAACCCUGCCUAAACCCUACCUAAUCCUAAACCCUUUCUAACCCUAAACCCUUUCUUACCCUAAACCCUUUCUAACCCUAAACCAUGCUAAUCCUAAACCCUACCUAAUUAUAAACCCUACCUAACCCUAACCCUACAAAACCCUAAACCCUACUAACCCUAAACCCCACCUAAUCUAAACCCUACGUCUAAACCCUACCUAACCCUAAAACCUUUCUAACCCUAAACCCUUUCUAGCCCUAAACCCUACCUAACCCUAAACCCUAAACCCUACUAACCCUAAACCCUACAUAACCCUAAACCCUACCUGACCUUAAACCCUACUAACCCUAAACCCUACCUAACCCUAAGCCCUACCUAACCCUAAACCCUAC
RNAcentral lists this long non-coding RNA (3335 nucleotides) under Brassica napus (rape). Its description in RNAcentral is "long non-coding RNA (BNAP_LNC004981)". Lineage: Eukaryota; Viridiplantae; Streptophyta; Magnoliopsida; Brassicales; Brassicaceae. The record is from RNAcentral.